AAAUCUUGUAGCCGAUGACAGUCAAAACAGUGACAUACAAGAAGAGGAGAGUGGCUACGAACUCGGCUAUGACGGCUCUGUACAAAGACCACUUAGUCAGCUCCUCCGCAUCGAAAAACGGAGUUGGCGGCGGAUCUUCGUAGUCCCUCGCCGCGAAUCCCUCUGCUCCUUCCACGUCUUUAGCCAUAUCGUAUUAUUAUAGGUAAUGGAUGUUUCUUCUUAGGAACUAUUUUACUUCUGGUUGAGAAUAAGCUAGAGCAAAUGGUUCUUUAUAUAGAGUUAGCUCUUGAUUUGUGCUACUGAGCGUAUAUCUGACACUUUUUUAUCAACACAUUUCAAAUGUUAUUUUGAUGAUAUUUUGUAAGGAAAUAAAAUUCGGUAAUUUCUUUUUAUUGGAUGCAUUUUUGGUAGCAAAAUUGACCUUGACUAUUUAAUGAAGAAAAUAGUAAUAAUCUUUCUAGAUUUAGUCAUCAGUAUUCACAUAAAACGAAUUGUGAUUUGAGCCCAUAGAGUGCAUAAAAUUCUAUUAGCUAAUUCUAUAUUUGCAUGUAACAUAUAGUUUGUUUAACCUUUAGUCAACACUAAAAACAGGAAAUAAAUUAAAUCUUUCUCAUGCGGUAACAUUUCCAAAUAACUCCAUUGUUUCUACUGAGACAUCAACGUCCCAUAGUAACGUCAUUAAAUUUGGUUAAAAUGCGACCGUUGACAAACCAAGCAACAACCAAUAUUAAAACGUGAGCAAAUUACUAGAGCGAUGAACAUAAACAAUUGCGAUAUAUAAAUUAUAAAUUGCAUAUUGUUAUACAAAACAUAGCUGAUCUGUAAGCUGUACCAACAUUCAUAAUUGCAUUGCUACUUUAAAGUUUUUGACAAAUAUUAAAAUAUCAUUUGUAAGCAUGAAAAAGUAUUUGUCUCCAUCGUAUCAAAAUAUUCGUGUGUGUUCCUACCGUUUCUAGCACAUUCUGGACUACUCUUGCAUCUUUUUCAUGCUUACACUAGUAAAUAUAUCACAAGCGAAUAUUUUUUUUAUAAUGAAAUUAGACUAAUCUUGAAUCAUUUUUUGUGUUAUAAAGCAUAAACAUGUAGUUUGAACCUAAACUUUAUUUGUGCAAUAAGCUGCAGAAUGUAAACAUAAAACGAACAACUAGUGUUAAUUUUGUCACAGAACACUACAUCAGUAAUUAUGACUCUAUGAUGCAUUCACUAUAUGUAUAUUCACACAUGCGUAAAUCAGUGUAUUUUUUGUUAUCGUGGAUUCAUUGUCAGCAAAUGUAUAUUACUUCGUCCAAUAAAAGCAGAGGGACGUCGCUAAAACGAUAAGGUUAUGCAACAUGGCAAAACAACAGCCACGAAAACCACAAUACGCCACAUUCCUUUUGUCCGUGUUCACGUUUAUGUAUUUUAAUUUCAUUUUCAAUAAAUAAUUUGUGAACUGUAUAAUUUUGUGGGCGAAUCUCUCAAAAAAAUCCAAAAAUGUUUUCAGAUCAAAAGGAUACUUUUGCAUUUUUGAAAAUAUUACUAAAAUUAUUAUUUAAAAUUUUGAUUAUAUAUAUUUUUAAUCCUAAACGCAUUCCCAAUCUAAAUUUUAAGUAUAAAUUAGUUAAUUCUAUUAGUGUUUUUAACUUUUUUACUGAAACUUAUUUUCAUCAUUUUUCUCAUUGUAUAUUAUAUUUUUGAUAAACAAAAAAAUUGUCCUAUCCUAAAAUAUUUCUCUAAUUCAUUUUCUUACGGCAAUACAUAUAUUACAUAUGCAUCUAAUUAUGGACGUAAGAAAAUUGCAAUUGGAAUUGAGGAUAGAGGGAGAGUGAUAGGAAAUGAUUAUUGACGGCUUGUGGGUCUCACUACGUGGCGCGACAAGAGUGGUUAAGUGGAACCGACGGCUGGACUGAGUUGGAGUUAAUCGGACGGUGCCGAUGUAUUUGUCGGAGCUUUUGGACGGUUUCUCAUGCGCAGUGAACCCCACCUUCCACGUCACCUACCCCAGUUCCAUUAGAUUUCGACCUUAGUGGAAACAGAACCACUAAAACGACGCCGUACCUUCUAUCCUGUCCAUGUAAUAAUUAUUUAUUGUAAUGGUAGGGUUAGGUUAAACAUAUAUGUAAUAAUUUAUGCUUUAUAUGUGGCUAUUUAGCUUUUUUCAAGAGAGUAUUGUAGAUACAAGAUUAAAGUAGCAAUUGAAAGAUGUUAGAAUAUACAUAUCACAAGUCUCACCCUUAAUCAACCUUAUCUAGCUAUAUAAAAGUUUUCCACUUAUAACAUUAUGACACCCUAAUUAAAAUCAAAUGUUCAAAAACUUUGCAAACGUCUGCAAUUUGAUAAGAUUUAUUUACUAUUUUUAUGUGCAAAAGAGUGACAGUUUAUAUUAUUCUAGGGGGAGGACAAGGCUCAUGACAUAUGGACAAGGGGAAAGAAAAUAUAGCCGCAUAUAGUAUAUUAACGUCGGUCCAAAUGAAAGCUACGUUUAGGUGUGGGGCGGCGAGGCUAAGUUAAUUUAACCAUAAAACUCCAUUAUCUACCAUAAUUUAAGAAUUAAGAGGUCGCUGUUCUUACAACCAUUCUUCUACAUUAUCCAAACCUCAAGUAAAUUCAGAUUAAGUUUAUAAGAUUAGUAACACUAACUAAAGCCAAAAAUAAACUUGAGUUAUAACUUCGUUAACAAAAACAUAUUCAAAUACAAUCAUUUUGAUAUGACAAAUACUAAUUUAGAUGAAAAGAUAACAUAUGGAUCCACAACAAUUUAAUUUAUAGGACUGUUUACUUAAAUAUAUUAUGAAAAUCCGAAUUAUGAUAACAAAUGCAUAUAAUGGAAUAUAUUACGCAAUACUGUAUUGUUAAUUAUGAAGCAAUGAUUAGAUUGGUUAUAUCAUGACAGCUUGCUAGGUAAUUAAUUAGUGGAAGCUAGUUUCCACAAAAAUAAUCAUAAUCGUCACAUACAUUUCUAUAUUCAGUUCAAUGAAACGAAUAAUUGGAUAACCAUUAACCUGCCACGGAAAACAUUAUUUGUAAACUAAUACGCACACCUUACAAUUAUUAACAUGUAUAUACAGAAGUAAUCAGAGCAUUCACUACGAACUCACUCUAUAUAAACAACCUUCCUUUAUCCCUCCACAAUCACAAAACAAGAACAAUAACCAAAAACACAUUUUCUUGAUAUAUUAAAAUAUUAAAUGGCGAAAGAGGUGGAAGGAGCAGAGGGAUUCGCUUCGAGGGACUACGAAGACCCGCCGCCAACUCCGUUUUUCGAUGCGGAGGAGCUGACCAAGUGGUCUUUGUACAGAGCCGUCAUCGCCGAGUUCGUAGCCACUCUCCUCUUCUUGUAUGUCACUGUUUUGACUGUCAUCGGCUACAAGAUUUCCUCCGACACUAAGGCCGGAGGUGAUGAGUGCGGAGGCGUCGGAAUCCUCGGCAUCUCAUGGGCCUUCGGUGGCAUGAUUUUCAUCCUUGUCUACUGCACCGCCGGUAUCUCAGGUAUUAAGAUAACAAACCGGUCCGGUUCAUAUCGGUUUAUACUUUUAAUAAAAACGUAGUCUUUGGUUUCUUGUUUAUUUGAAAUUGACCCCAAAACUUUGUGAAGGUGGUCACAUAAACCCUGCGGUGACGUUCGGCUUGUUCUUGGCAAGGAAGGUAUCGUUGGUUAGAGCGGUGCUAUACAUGGUGGCUCAGUGUUUGGGUGCGAUUUGUGGAGUUGGUUUCGUCAAAGCGUUCCAAAGCGCUUACUACGUACGUUACGGUGGAGGAGCAAACUCUCUAGCCGAUGGAUACAGCACAGGGACUGGACUCGCUGCAGAGAUCAUUGGAACAUUCGUCCUGGUCUACACUGUUUUCUCCGCCACUGACCCCAAAAGAAACGCACGAGACUCCCACGUUCCCGUAAGUAUUAAUCAUCAGUUACUUCCAGUUACAAGAUAUAGUUAAGUGAACAUUUAACUAAUUAAUUUGUGGUUAUGAUUUAUGAAAUAAAAGGUGUUGGCGCCACUCCCAAUUGGAUUUGCCGUGUUCAUGGUACACUUGGCCACUAUUCCAAUCACUGGAACCGGUAUUAACCCGGCCAGGAGUUUCGGAGCUGCAGUUAUCUACAACGAGUCCAAGCCGUGGGAUGACCACGUAUGUUCUAAUCAAAUUAUUGUUAUAUUUUUUUAGUGGGAUAAUCGUACUGAAUAUUUUUGGUCUCAUUUGAUUACAGUGGAUUUUCUGGGUGGGACCAUUCAUCGGAGCUGCGAUAGCUGCAUUUUAUCACCAAUUCGUCCUAAGGGCCUCUGGUUCCAAGUCCCUCGGGUCCUUCAGAAGUGCGGCCAACGUUUGAAUUUAGCCACACAAAACAAAAUAGCAAUUACAAAAUGGUUGUUAUUAUGUAUGUACAAAUUUGGCAACUUUGGUUUUAAAAUCUAUGCUCUGUUUUAUUCCUUUUGUCUUUCCUAAUUUCUGGCUUUAUUGUGGGAUAUGUGAAUGUUCGUGUACUCGGGAAAAACAAUUAAUGAAAUCAAAUUGUUUUUGCCUUGUUUAACUUUUUUUUACUACCAUCAACAUUUUCAAAAAUAAAAUGUUAGAAGUAAUACAAUUUCAGAUAAAAUCAACAAAUGGUUCAACACUUGAUGAACGUAUAGGUUUCAUUUGAUUCCCGUUAGCCUCUAUGGUAUGAAAAGGAGUAAGACAUAUCAAACGAACUGAACGUAACAAUCUCCAGUUGGAUGACGCUAGUUUAAUGUACAUGAAAGUGAACACUUUUUAUGUUGACAUUCCCAUUCGCUAUUUCUAUAAGCAAUUAUAUUUUGUAAUGGUUCAUACAAUGUGCCUUUUUCUUAAAAAUAUACAAAGGUCAUCUUCUAAAAUAACAAAAAGAAAAAAAAAAGAAAAAAAAAGAUGGACACACAAGUUUGGAGCGAUUUAAAAUAUAAUUAAAAGCCGCUAAAGUUCUUUAAUCUACAAGUCGAUUAUCCAAAUGCAGCUCAAGACCAAAAUAAGGGUGUAAGAUCAUCUUCAACAGCCACUUACUCUUCAUUAAAUAAGUCGUCUAGGGAAAACGGGUUAGUUUUGCAUUUGACCGGAAUGUGUCAGAAAUUUGACUUUUCCUGGAUGACUUACAAGUUAGUCGUCCAGUAGAAAAUUAAAAAAAUAAUAUUUUUUUUCUAAACGACUAACUUGUAAGUCGUCUCAGGUUAGUUUUGCAAUUGAAUUAUUAAACAAAAAAAAAAUUUUCUAGAUGAAUUGUCUCGAGUUUUUUUCCCACAUGACUAACCUGUAAGUCGUCCAAGUCCAGUCCCUGUGCUGUAUCCAUCGGCUAGAGAGUUUGCUCCUCCACCGUAACGUACGUAGUAAGCGCUUUGGAAGGCUUUGACGAAACCAACUCCACAAAUCGCACCCAAACACUGAGCCACCAUGUAUAGCACUGCUCUAACCAACGAUACCUUCCUUGCCAAGAACAAGCCGAACGUCACCGCAGGGUUUAUGUGACCACCUUCAUAAAGUUUUGGGGUCAAUACCAAAUAAACAAGAAACCAAAGAGCACGUUUAUUUUAAAAAAUCAGAACCGAUAUUAACCGGACUGGUUCGUUAUAUUAAUACCUGAGAUACCGGCGGUGCAGUAGACAAGGAUGAAGAUCAUGCCACCGAAGGCCCAUGAGAUGCCGAGGAUUCCGACGCCUCCGCACUCGUCGCCUCCGGCCUUAGUGUCGGAGGAAAUCUUGUAGCCGAUGACAGUCAAAACAGUGACAUACAAGAAGAGGAGAGUGGCUACGAACUCGGCUAUGACGGCUCUGUACAAAGACCACUUAGUCAGCUCCUCCGCAUCGAAAAACGGAGUUGGCGGCGGAUCUUCGUAGUCCCUCGCCGCGAAUCCCUCUGCUCCUUCCACGUCUUUAGCCAUAUCGUAUUAUUAUAGGUAAUGGAUGUUUCUUCUUAGGAACUAUUUUACUUCUGGUUGAGAAUAAGCUAGAGCAAAUGGUUCUUUAUAUAGAGUUAGCUCUUGAUUUGUGCUACUGAGCGUAUAUCUGACACUUUUUUAUCAACACAUUU
Molecule: long non-coding RNA, 6012 nt
Filed under: Brassica napus (rape)
Lineage: Eukaryota; Viridiplantae; Streptophyta; Magnoliopsida; Brassicales; Brassicaceae
Description: long non-coding RNA (BNAP_LNC014987)
Source: RNAcentral